AGCCACCCCCAUCCAUGAACCAGGAACAGAGGUCCCUGUCUGUCUGUGGCCCAUUCUACUGUACUUGAUCCUCUCUGUAUGAUGUCAUCAUGUCCAAAUUACCACAGAGGCCACACACAACAGGCCUCUGUUUAUUGAGAAAGAUCUCAAGGCAGUCAUGGAGGAAUCCCACCAGAGGAGCUGGAAAACGUUGCAGGGGAGAAGGAGGGCUGGGCUACUUUACUGAACCUGCUGCCACUGCAACCUGAUCUCAGAUAAGCAGAAGAAAAUAGAUGGAUGUGCAACUGGAUUUAAUAACUUGCUGUCAUGGCACAUGCACAGUAAAAAAUAAUAUUUAGAUUUCACAGUGUUUAGACUUGUAAUUAUUUCUGACUGAGCCUGUAUGAAGUACCGAGUUACAGCACCAGCACCACAGGCUUAGAUGUAAUUACAUUCAGCCAAAGCAUGUAAUAGUUUAAAUAGCUUUUUUUCAUAUUUGGUGGCUUUCUUUGGAAAACACUAACCUCUUUGUAUGAUCAGAGUGGAAUUACUUCAUGUACAGAUCAGUGACAAA
Molecule: long non-coding RNA, 553 nt
Organism: Monopterus albus (swamp eel)
Lineage: Eukaryota; Metazoa; Chordata; Actinopteri; Synbranchiformes; Synbranchidae
Exons: 3
Source: RefSeq, a predicted model, not a curated record